Molecule: ribosomal RNA, 478 nt
Filed under: uncultured bacterium
Lineage: Bacteria
Description: partial 16S ribosomal RNA
Rfam family: Bacterial small subunit ribosomal RNA
Source: RNAcentral
GAUGAACGCUGGCGGCGUGCUUAACACAUGCAAGUCGAACGGGAAUUAUUUUAUUGAAACUUCGGUCGAUUUAAUUUAAUUCUAGUGGCGGACGGGUGAGUAACGCGUGGGUAACCUGCCUUAUACAGGGGGAUAACAGUCAGAAAUGGCUGCUAAUACCGCAUAAGCGCACAGAGCUGCAUGGCUCAGUGUGAAAAACUCCGGUGGUAUAAGAUGGACCCGCGUUGGAUUAGCUGGUUGGUGGGGUAACGGCCCACCAAGGCGACGAUCCAUAGCCGGCCUGAGAGGGUGAACGGCCACAUUGGGACUGAGACACGGCCCAGACUCCUACGGGAGGCAGCAGUGGGGAAUAUUGCACAAUGGGGGAAACCCUGAUGCAGCGACGCCGCGUGAAGGAAGAAGUAUCUCGGUAUGUAAACUUCUAUCAGCAGGGAAGAUAGUGACGGUACCUGACUAAGAAGCCCCGGCUAACUACGUG